Long non-coding RNA from Macaca mulatta (Rhesus monkey), 142 nucleotides. RefSeq lists it as uncharacterized. The record is from RefSeq and is a predicted model, not a curated record. Lineage: Eukaryota; Metazoa; Chordata; Mammalia; Primates; Cercopithecidae.
GGUAUUAUAUUUAAAACUCUCAACCAGAAAGGACAUGACUGAACUGUAUUGUCACUAUCAAAGAGCAAUUAUUCCCACUGGACGUUAAGGCCCAUUGUCAUGGACUUAAGCAUCCGCACAAGUCCAAGAGAAGGAAAGGCUA